This 119-nucleotide ribosomal RNA is filed under the name Pteropus alecto (black flying fox). The record is from RNAcentral. Lineage: Eukaryota; Metazoa; Chordata; Mammalia; Chiroptera; Pteropodidae.
GUCCAUGGCCGUGCUACCCUGAACAAGCCUGAUCUCAUCUGAUCUCAGAAGCUAAGCAGGGUCGGGCUUGGUUAGUACUUGGAGGAGAGACCACCUAGGAAGACCAGGUUCUAUAGGCA